GUGCAGGGGCAAAAUGGUAAUUUUAAAAUUUUUUCAAAAUUACUACUUUACAGUGGAAUUAUUAAUUAAUCUCAUUAAUUAAUACUAAUUAACCCUACACUAGGAUCUAAAUAUGAUACAACAGCAUGGAUUUAAAUUUGAAAUUCAAAUUUGAAUCAGUAAACAUUUUACAGUACUGUGUUCAGAACACAUCACCUUUUGCGGGUAGUCGAUCAUCGCAAUUUGAUCACCGUCGGGGGACUCUGAUCAUCACGUCGCAGCCACACAAAUGUCUGGCCUCUGCGGAUCAUCCACACGAAGCUCCCGUCUGAUCAGCUCCUCACGAAUGCUAGUUCGUGAUUUCACCCUUUUGAUGGCAGAUGUUGAUCGAACUCCUUCGAUCGAUGUGUGCCGACUUCUCGAAUGCUCCGGAUCGUCUGCACAGUUGUUUGAGAGGCUGAUGGAUCUCUCCCUGAAAUUUGAUGGACUCACGACACUCGUGGCACACCAAUCUCACUUCCCGAACCCUAGGUAGAAACCCUAGGGUACACACCAAAAAUCCUGCGCCCAAUUUUCUCUCUUUUCUUUCUUUUUCUCUCGGAAGGUUUUGGACCUUCACCUUGCGCAGAAGCCUUCCUCACGCCCCAAAGUUUCUCUCCUAAAAUUUUCUAUGCACGUCCCACCUUUCUCCUCUUUUUAAAACAACGUCGAACAUGUCUUAUCCGCGUGAGAGGAUAAAGACAAGAGGUUACACAUUUGAAUUCAAAUCAAAUUUGAAUUCAAACGAAAACCAACUUAUCCCUAUCUUUUU
This 790-nucleotide long non-coding RNA is filed under the name Elaeis guineensis (African oil palm). Its description in RNAcentral is "long non-coding RNA (EGUI_LNC014361)". The record is from RNAcentral. Lineage: Eukaryota; Viridiplantae; Streptophyta; Magnoliopsida; Arecales; Arecaceae.